CCUACGGGUGGCAGCAGUGAGGAAUAUUGGUCAAUGGGCGAGAGCCUGAACCAGCCAAGUCGCGUGAGGGAGUACUGCCCUCUGGGUUGUAAACCUCUUUUGUCGGGGAGCAAAAGCCGGAUGUGUCCGGCUGGUAGAGUACCCGAAGAUAAAGCAUCGGCUAAAUCCGUGCCAGCAGCCGCGGUAAUACGGAGGAUGCGAGCGUUAUCCGGAUUUAUUGGGUUUAAAGGGAGCGUAGGUGGGUUGUUAAGUCAGUUGUGAAAGUUUGCGGCUCAACCGUAAAAUUGCAAUUGAUACUGGCAGUCUUGAGUACAGUUGAGGUAGGCGGAAUUCGUGGUGUAGCGGUGAAAUGCUUAGAUAUCACGAAGAACACCGAUUGCGAAGGCAGCUUACUAAACUGUGACUGACAUUGAGGCGCGAAAGUGUGGGUAUCAAACAGGAUUAGAUACCCCAGUAGUC
RNAcentral lists this ribosomal RNA (459 nucleotides) under uncultured bacterium. RNAcentral's name for it is "partial 16S ribosomal RNA". It matches the Rfam family "Bacterial small subunit ribosomal RNA", at positions 338 to 795 of the family's 1533-position model. The record is from RNAcentral.